GCAGAGUAGGCAUAUGUGCGUUAAGUGCCGGCUGAACAGGGAGUUGUCAGCUGGACGAAAGGGGAAGGGUACGUAAUUGUAUCAGGACCCCUGCGGUACAUAAGCCGCAUCCCGCUGC
RNAcentral lists this non-coding RNA (118 nucleotides) under Clostridium porci. RNAcentral describes it as "THF riboswitch". It matches the Rfam family "THF (Tetrahydrofolate) riboswitch aptamer". From Rfam's summary of the family: THF riboswitch presents a pseudoknot that joins P1-P2 and the loop of P3 and two THF binding. Lineage: Bacteria; Bacillati; Bacillota; Clostridia; Eubacteriales; Clostridiaceae. The record is from RNAcentral. RNAcentral also lists the same sequence under 1 other name.